Long non-coding RNA from Bubalus bubalis (water buffalo), 1404 nucleotides. RefSeq lists it as uncharacterized. The transcript is spliced from 3 exons. The record is from RefSeq and is a predicted model, not a curated record. Lineage: Eukaryota; Metazoa; Chordata; Mammalia; Artiodactyla; Bovidae.
CUCAGCACCAACACAUAUGAGCAUGCACACAGGCGCCCCGUGCGCACACCUGCCUCCUCUGGGAGCUGCGCCUCCAGCCACGCCAGCCACCGGGGUCCCUGGGAGCCACCUGCGGGGUCUGAGUACCCUCUGUCCUGGCACAGAUGUCUGGUCCUGAGAAGCCACGUGACCCGGCUGGACCCUGAAGAACCUUCUCUGGGAAUUGGAAGUUCUGACUCUGUCUGUUCUCUAGAAAGCAUGAGCUGUGACCUAAGGGGGUGUGGGUGACCCCCUUGGCGUCCAGGUGUCCUGGAAAUCAAGAAAGAGGACCUAGAACAGAAGACAGUGGGUUGGCAGACUCAGCGGGGGCCAGGGUGGGGGGUCCCCACUGCACGCCAGCCCAAGCUUUUCUCUUACUCUGAAUUCUGAAGGACACACAAACAGCCUUUUAUAAAUUCUUCUAUGGUUUUAAGCCAAGUCCAAUUAGAUUUCUCUCACCUCCAUCCACUGGAAUCCUCGCUGAAACCAUGCACGAAAAAAAAAAUUCACCGGAAUAUUCAUAGUGUGAGUGUGCAGAGACCCGACGCACGCCGAUUCAGAGGUAAGAGUGCCAUCUACUGAAUGUGAGACCUCAUUUCCGGCAGCCCGGCAGCCAGUCCUCCGAGACCUCCCACCUGGGAACCGGCUGGGCGCACAGAACCGAGACAGCAGGAGGGUCCGUGGCCAAGGUGUUUGUAGCAUUGAGUUAGUAGAACGAGAAAAUUGGACCAACAUGGGACACAUAGUAUCUUGGGAAACAGCUAGAAAUCCCUGGUGGAAAAUGCAUGAGGAGUUUCUCCCCUGAAGAGAGGGUGCAGAGGGGCCCGCCUGCUGGGCUCAGAUGCAGGCGCAGAGGCCCCCGGGGUUCACGGUUUGGUUGUUCCCUUCUCUGGUGAACCUCCGGGAGACUGAUGCUAGCUCAUGCCUCUCACAUGGAUGAACCACACUUCAGUGGCGAGCUGGCCUUUGGAGCUCAGAGGAACACUGAUGGAGGUGGCUGGGGUGUCUGCAGCUCAGGUCUGCUAUCAUGGGGGUCCUGGGGUCCAGAAUGGGACCACCCUGAGAUACAGCCAUCAGACAACUUGUGGGCACCUCUAAAUUCCAGAGAAGGCUCAUUCGUUCAUUCACUCAGCAUGCCAUUGGUGAGUGUCCAGUAAGUUGCUGGGGACAGCAGAGACCCAGCAGAGCUGACACUCCAGCUGAGACACAGGUAUUUUAGGACCGAUAGAAAACAGUUAUUGAAUCACUAGUACGAUAACUUUAGGCUCCCCACUCCAGUGUUGUUGGGCUUCCCUUGUGGCUCAGCUGGUAAAGAAUCCUCCCGCAAUGCGGGAGACCUGGGUUCGAUUCCUGGGUUGGGAAGAUCCCCUGGAGAAGGGAAAGUCU